Molecule: ribosomal RNA, 459 nt
Filed under: uncultured bacterium
Lineage: Bacteria
Description: partial 16S ribosomal RNA
Rfam family: Bacterial small subunit ribosomal RNA
Source: RNAcentral
CCUACGGGAGGCAGCAGUGAGGAAUAUUGGUCAAUGGCCGGGAGGCUGAACCAGCCAAGUCGCGUGAGGGAAGAAGGCCCUACGGGUUGUAAACCUCUUUUGUCAGGGAGCAAGGUGCAGGUCGGGACCUGCUGUGGGAGUACCUGAAGAAAAAGCAUAGGCUAACUCCGUGCCAGCAGACGCGGUAAUACGGAGGAUGCGAGCGUUAUCCGGAUUUAUUGGGUUUAAGGGGUGCGCAGGCGGAGGCACAAGUCAGCGGUAAAAUCGCGGGGCUCAACCCCGCUCCGCCGUUGAAACUGUGUGCCUUGAGUGCGCGAAGGGUAGGCGGAAUGCGUGGUGUAGCGGUGAAAUGCAUAGAGAUCACGCAGAACUCCGAUCGCGAAGGCAGCCUACCGGCGCGCAACUGACGCUCAUGCACGAAAGCGUGGGUAUCGAACAGGAUUAGAUACCCGUGUAGUC